AGUCAGGUCACACCCUGUGCUGGAGUCAGCCUCACACUGAUCACACACAGACAUGAGUGUGCCAACUCAGCUCCUGGGGUUGCUGCUGCUGUGGCUUACAGAUGCCAGAUGUGAUAUCCAGUUGACUCAGUCUCCAGCAUCCCUGUCUACAUCUGUGGGAGAAACUGUCACCAUCACAUGUCAAGCAAGUGAGAAUGUUAACAGUUAUUUACAUUGGUAUCAGCAGAAACAGGGAAAAUCUCCUCAGCUCCUGGUCUAUGCUGCAACAAACUUAGCAGACGGUGUGUCAUCAAGGUUCAGUGGCAGUGGAUCAGGCACACAGUAUUCUCUCAAGAUCAACAGCCUGCAGCCUGAAGAUAUUGCAGAUUAUUUCUGUCAGCAUUCUUAUGGUACUCCCACAGUGAUUCAAGCCAUGACAUUAAACCACCCAGAGAAGCAGAAGUGA
Molecule: non-coding RNA, 445 nt
Organism: Mus pahari (shrew mouse)
Lineage: Eukaryota; Metazoa; Chordata; Mammalia; Rodentia; Muridae
Source: the annotation of a RefSeq genome assembly